Molecule: ribosomal RNA, 665 nt
Filed under: Brevundimonas sp. 52AD23
Lineage: Bacteria; Pseudomonadati; Pseudomonadota; Alphaproteobacteria; Caulobacterales; Caulobacteraceae
Description: bacterial SSU rRNA
Rfam family: Bacterial small subunit ribosomal RNA
Source: RNAcentral
CGGGGGAAAGAUUUAUCGCCUUUAGAGCGGCCCGCGUCUGAUUAGCUAGUUGGUGAGGUAAAGGCUCACCAAGGCGACGAUCAGUAGCUGGUCUGAGAGGAUGAUCAGCCACAUUGGGACUGAGACACGGCCCAAACUCCUACGGGAGGCAGCAGUGGGGAAUCUUGCGCAAUGGGCGAAAGCCUGACGCAGCCAUGCCGCGUGAAUGAUGAAGGUCUUAGGAUUGUAAAAUUCUUUCACCGGGGACGAUAAUGACGGUACCCGGAGAAGAAGCCCCGGCUAACUUCGUGCCAGCAGCCGCGGUAAUACGAAGGGGGCUAGCGUUGCUCGGAAUUACUGGGCGUAAAGGGAGCGUAGGCGGACAUUUAAGUCAGGGGUGAAAUCCCGGGGCUCAACCUCGGAAUUGCCUUUGAUACUGGGUGUCUUGAGUAUGAGAGAGGUGUGUGGAACUCCGAGUGUAGAGGUGAAAUUCGUAGAUAUUCGGAAGAACACCAGUGGCGAAGGCGACACACUGGCUCAUUACUGACGCUGAGGCUCGAAAGCGUGGGGAGCAAACAGGAUUAGAUACCCUGGUAGUCCACGCCGUAAACGAUGAUUGCUAGUUGUCGGGAUGCAUGCAUUUCGGUGACGCAGCUAACGCAUUAAGCAAUCCGCCUGGGGAGUAC